RNAcentral lists this ribosomal RNA (506 nucleotides) under uncultured bacterium. Its description in RNAcentral is "partial 16S ribosomal RNA". It matches the Rfam family "Bacterial small subunit ribosomal RNA", at positions 29 to 523 of the family's 1533-position model. The record is from RNAcentral.
AGUGAACGCUGGCGGUAGGCCUAACACAUGCAAGUCGAACGGCAGCACAGAGGAGCUUGCUCCUUGGGUGGCGAGUGGCGGACGGGUGAGGAAUACAUCGGAAUCUACUCUGUCGUGGGGGAUAACGUAGGGAAACUUACGCUAAUACCGCAUACGACCUACGGGUGAAAGCAGGGGAUCUUCGGACCUUGCGCGAUUGAAUGAGCCGAUGUCGGAUUAGCUAGUUGGCGGGGUAAAGGCCCACCAAGGCGACGAUCCGUAGCUGGUCUGAGAGGAUGAUCAGCCACGCUGGAACUGAGACACGGUCCAGAUUCCUACGGGAGGCAGCAGUGGGGAAUAUUGGACAAUGGGCGCAAGCCUGAUCCAGCCAUACCGCGUGGGUGAAGAAGGCCUUCGGGUUGUAAGGCCCUUUUGUUGGGAAAGAAAUCCAGCUGGCUAAUACCCGGUUGGGAUGACGGUACCCAAAGAAUAAGCACCGGCUAACUUCGUGCCAGCAGCCGCAGUAA